Molecule: ribosomal RNA, 634 nt
Filed under: bacterium TN62A
Lineage: Bacteria
Also listed under: 1 other name
Description: bacterial SSU rRNA
Rfam family: Bacterial small subunit ribosomal RNA
Source: RNAcentral
CCGGGGCUCAACUCCGGUUCUGCAGUGGGUACGGGCAGACUAGAGUGCAGUAGGGGAGACUGGAAUUCCUGGUGUAGCGGUGAAAUGCGCAGAUAUCAGGAGGAACACCGAUGGCGAAGGCAGGUCUCUGGGCUGUAACUGACGCUGAGGAGCGAAAGCAUGGGGAGCGAACAGGAUUAGAUACCCUGGUAGUCCAUGCCGUAAACGUUGGGCACUAGGUGUGGGGGACAUUCCACGUUUUCCGCGCCGUAGCUAACGCAUUAAGUGCCCCGCCUGGGGAGUACGGCCGCAAGGCUAAAACUCAAAGGAAUUGACGGGGGCCCGCACAAGCGGCGGAGCAUGCGGAUUAAUUCGAUGCAACGCGAAGAACCUUACCAAGGCUUGACAUGAACCGGUAAUACCUGGAAACAGGUGCCCCGCUUGCGGUCGGUUUACAGGUGGUGCAUGGUUGUCGUCAGCUCGUGUCGUGAGAUGUUGGGUUAAGUCCCGCAACGAGCGCAACCCUCGUUCUAUGUUGCCAGCGCGUUAUGGCGGGGACUCAUAGGAGACUGCCGGGGUCAACUCGGAGGAAGGUGGGGACGACGUCAAAUCAUCAUGCCCCUUAUGUCUUGGGCUUCACGCAUGCUACAAUGGC